GAUGAAGAACGUAGCGAAAUGCGAUAAGUAAUGUGAAUUGCAGAGUUCAGUGAAUCAUCGAAUCUUUGAACGCACAUUGCGCCCGCCAGCAUUCUGGCGGGCAUGCCUGUUCGAGCGUCAUUUCAACCCUCGCAGCCCAUCUGGGCAGCGGUGUUGGGGACCGGCACCACCGGCGAAGCCCUUAGGGACCCAGCCGGCGCCGCCCCCGAAAUACAGUGGCGGUCUCGCUGCAGCCUCCCUUGCGUAGUAGCACACCUCGCACCGGAGCGCAGCGCGGCCACGCCGUAAAACCCCCGACUUUCUGAGUUUGACCUCGAAUCAGGUAGGAAUACCCGCUGAACUUAAGCAUAUCAAUAAGCGGAGGA
Molecule: unclassified non-coding RNA, 365 nt
Filed under: soil metagenome
Description: partial contains 5.8S ribosomal RNA, internal transcribed spacer 2, and large subunit ribosomal RNA
Rfam family: 5.8S ribosomal RNA (bases 1-120)
Source: RNAcentral